RNAcentral lists this ribosomal RNA (491 nucleotides) under uncultured bacterium. RNAcentral describes it as "partial 16S ribosomal RNA". It matches the Rfam family "Bacterial small subunit ribosomal RNA", at positions 29 to 506 of the family's 1533-position model. The record is from RNAcentral.
AGUGAACGCUGGCGGUAGGCCUAACACAUGCAAGUCGAACGGCAGCACAGUAAGAGCUUGCUCUUACGGGUGGCGAGUGGCGGACGGGUGAGGAAUACAUCGGAAUCUACUUUUUCGUGGGGGAUAACGUAGGGAAACUUACGCUAAUACCGCAUACGACCUACGGGUGAAAGCAGGGGAUCUUCGGACCUUGCGCGAUUGAAUGAGCCGAUGUCGGAUUAGCUAGUUGGCGGGGUAAAGGCCCACCAAGGCGACGAUCCGUAGCUGGUCUGAGAGGAUGAUCAGCCACACUGGAGCUGAGACACGGUCCAGGCUCCUACGGGAGGCAGCAGUGGGGAAUAUUGGACAAUGGGCGCAAGCCUGAUCCAGCCAUACCGCGUGGGUGAAGAAGGCCUUCGGGUUGUAAAGCCCUUUUGUUGGGAAAGAAAAGCAGCAGGUUAAUACCCCGCUGUUCUGACGGUACCCAAAGAAUAAGCACCGGCUAACUUCGU